GCCUCGGUGGUGUAGUGGUUAGAGCACGCGUUCGCCGAAUAGGAUGAAACGCGGUUCGAUUCCCGCUUGAGGCC
This is a non-coding RNA of Parelaphostrongylus tenuis, 74 nucleotides long. Lineage: Eukaryota; Metazoa; Nematoda; Chromadorea; Rhabditida; Metastrongylidae. The record is from the annotation of a GenBank genome assembly.